Molecule: ribosomal RNA, 254 nt
Filed under: uncultured bacterium
Lineage: Bacteria
Description: partial 16S ribosomal RNA
Rfam family: Bacterial small subunit ribosomal RNA
Source: RNAcentral
UACGGAGGGUGCGAGCGUUGUCCGGAAUCAUUGGGCGUAAAGGGCGCGUAGGUGGCCCGGUCAGCGUGCGGUGAAAGCUCGGGGCUCAACCCCGAGUCGGCCGUGCGAACUGCUGGGCUGGAGCACUGUAGAGGCAGGCGGAAUUCCGGGUGUAGCGGUGGAAUGCGUAGAGAUCCGGAAGAACACCGGUGGCGAAGGCGGCCUGCUGGGCAGUGGCUGACACUGAGGCGCGACAGCGUGGGGAGCAAACAGGG